AAAAAGAAAGUGGGCCUUCAUCAAAAUAAAUAAAUGAAUAAAUAAAGUGGGCUUUCUCUGCAAAGUUCUCUUGUUUCUUUGAAUCUUUAGCAUCUAGAAAACAAAAUGACACUACAAACUGAUGGUUGCCCGAUGCCCCAAGUUCAUUCCCAUACAUCUAUUUCGGUUCUUGUCGAUUGAACUAUUAAUGCUGAUUUUGUAAAUGACCUGUUUUCCAUGCAGAUAAGAUGAUUCCAGAAGAACUGGGGAAUGUAUCCCGCUUACAUCCCCAAUAGGAAAUCUUUCGAGCGUGCAGGUGAGGGACAACUGCUGUAUUCUUUAAAUUACUACUUAUCUUGCUGGGAUGGAUCUAUGCAGCCGCCUAACUGAUGCUAGAUGGCUGUGAUGGUAAAGGCCGGACAGAAGCCUUGUUCUGGCAAUAAUUUUAGAGAAAUUUUUUGUGCACCGUGAAUGGUGUAAAAAAUUCGAUAUCAAGUGCACCGUUUUAUGUGAUUGGUCUACGUAGUCAUCAUUUUUCAAUGCACAUUUAAUGUCUGUAAUUUUAUUUUUUCAUUUAAAAAUUUUGUAUGACGAAGAUAUCUCUAUUUUUUGAAAAAAAUUAUGACAUCAUGUGGCAUAUUAUGACUUUCUAUACACAGGAUGUCAUAAUAUGGUCCAGAAAAUUAUGACAUUCUAUAUAUAUUAUGACAUCCUAUAUCAAAUUAUGACUUUCUGUAUGCAGGAUGUUAUAAUAUAAUUUAGGAUGUCAUAAUAUGGCUCAGAAUAUCAUAAUAUAGAAGGGAUAUUUUUGUCCAAUAAUUUUUCAACAUGCGAUUAAUACUUACAGUUUUAUUUUUUCAUUUGAAAAUUUUGAAUGAUGAAGGUACAUCUGUAUUUUAAAAAAAAUUAUGACAUCCUACGUUAUAUUAUGAUAUACUGUGGACAAAAAAUAUAAUUUUUUGGAUGCAAGAUAUCAUAAUAUAGAUAUAGGAAAGGGGCAUUUUCAUUAUUCAAAAUUUUAAACGAAAAAAUAAAAUUACGGACAUUAAAUGUGCGUUGGAAAGUAAAGACUAUGUGGAUCAAUCGGAUAAGAUGAUACAUUCUACGUCGGAUUCUUUACACCAUCCACGGUGCACAAAGAAUUUUUAUUCUUUACACCAUCCACGGUGCACAAAGUUAUUUAGUUCUUGCCCAAACUUGGAGCAGCCAGUUCGGAAUGCUUGCACUUUUAACAUCUUCUGAACAAAUUUAGGAUCCUUGGAGCCUUAGGAUGUCCUUAGGAGGUGAGAGUAUAGUUUGCAUGCAUGAUGCGAUUGAACUACUGCAUCUUCUGUAUAUUCUCACAGGUUUUCUGAAUUGAUGCAAGUCAUGGUCUAAAUAAAAUGGCAUAUCAUCAAAAGACCUGUUUGAACUGCGGAACCUAAUCUUGCCCCCGAGUUUCAUAAGAUGGUAUCAUCUUGAAGUUAAAGUAUGUCUUAAAAAAUCAUAUACCAAAGCAAAUUCAAAAGAAGCUUCUACCUAGCAUCACGUGCAACUUAGCACGCUAAUCUAAAUGGGAAUGCAAGUUUUGACAAAUGCAGGAUUAUGGAUGCAAAUAUAUGUGCAUUAAUAUCGAUAUGAACAUUCACAGCAUAUAUCCAUCGGUGAAUGCAUGAAUUUUUAUAAGUUGUGUUUUUGACUAAAUCAUGUAAUUAUUUCAAUAACUGUGUCAAGCUUUGUUAGUCCUCUUCUUUGCUCACAUUCUAAAUCAUGUAAUUAUAAGGUUGAGUCCACAUUCUAAAUAUGAACUUCUUCAAGUCAAACAUGGACAAUCCCAGUAUUUAGCAAAAGUAGUAACGGUGACAAGUUGCUGUUCAUCUACCACUUCAGUCACAUCUGAAGGCCCCUUCUCAGCAUGAUCGACUAAGGAUAUAAUGAUAUCAGCCAACGCCAACCAUUUUUCGGACAAAGGAGGAGCCAAGUAGAGGCAGUGGGCCAGCGAAAGAGUGGUUCAGGUGACCGCAUGAUCAACUAAAGAUAUACAAUGUCACUCGGAUCCUUUAUCAUCUGUGACAUUAAUCAUAUACAAGAACGAAUCAGUAUCACAGAUGGCUAAUAUUUACAAACGAAAACAAGAACAAAUUCAAAAUUAUUAAUUGAACUCAUUGCCAAGCCCUAACUGUAUGGUUCGGAAGCAUCAUGAUUCGUCACUUUUUUCAUAUGAAAUAAGCAAGCAUGCAUGUAGAAUAGUACUCCGGAUAGAGUUGUCAUUUGAUAUUGCCUGUCAUGGUUGGUUCAGGCAAAACAACUGAAAGUUGGCAAUGUUAUAGCGUGUUGAUUACAUAGAGAUAUAGGUGCCUCUCUUUCUACCUUUUUUUGGCAAACAAUUACAACGAAUGGAAUAGAGAAAGUCCGUACAUAUCCUAUGAACUUUGCUUUUUUUUUUUAGAACAAAAAAAUCAGAUACUAUAUGGAAGCAUUGCAGAAUGACCCAG
Molecule: long non-coding RNA, 2453 nt
Filed under: Elaeis guineensis (African oil palm)
Lineage: Eukaryota; Viridiplantae; Streptophyta; Magnoliopsida; Arecales; Arecaceae
Description: long non-coding RNA (EGUI_LNC003776)
Source: RNAcentral